AUUGAACGCUGGCGGCAUGCCUAAAACAUGCAAGUCGAACGAGUGGCGGAGGGGUGAGUAAGGUCUGGGAAACUGCCCGAUGGAGGGGGCUAACUACUGGAAACGUUAGCUAAAACUGCAUACAACGGGCUGUGCUCCGAUGGGAUUAGCUAGUCGGUGGGGUAACGGCUCACCUAGGCGACGAUCCCUAGCUGGUCUGAGAGGAUGACCAGCCACACUGGAACUGAGACACGGUCCAGACUCCUACGGGAGGCAGCAGUGGGGAAUAUUGCACAAUGGGCGAAAGCCUGAUGCAGCCAUGCCGCGUGUAUGAAGAAGGCCUUCGGGUUGUAAAGUACUUUCAGCGAGGAGGCGUUACUCGCAGAAGAAGCACCGGCUAACUCCGUGCCAGCAGCCGCGGUAAUUC
RNAcentral lists this ribosomal RNA (406 nucleotides) under uncultured bacterium. RNAcentral's name for it is "partial 16S ribosomal RNA". It matches the Rfam family "Bacterial small subunit ribosomal RNA", at positions 30 to 526 of the family's 1533-position model. The record is from RNAcentral.